CCCUUAGAUGUCCGGGGCCGCACGCGCGCUACACUGAAGGAAUCAGCGUGGCUUUCUCCCUGACCCGAAAGGGUUGGGAAACCCGUUGAAUCUCCUUCGUGAUAGGGAUUGGGGCUUGAAAUUGUUCCCCAUGAACGAGGAAUUCCCAGUAAGCGCGAGUCAUAAGCUCGCGUUGAUUACGUCCCUGCCCUUUGUACACACCGCCCGUCGCUACUACCGAUUGAACGGUUUAGUGAGGGCCUCGGAUUGGUCUCGGCCCGCUCAUUACCGGGCGGCGCCGUUGGUCGAGAAGACGCUCGAACUUGAUCGUUUAGAGGAAGUAAAAGUCGUAACA
Molecule: ribosomal RNA, 334 nt
Filed under: uncultured eukaryote
Lineage: Eukaryota
Description: partial 18S ribosomal RNA
Rfam family: Eukaryotic small subunit ribosomal RNA
Source: RNAcentral